AGGGCAUACGGCGGAUGCCUAGGCGUUUCGAAACGAAGAAGGACGCGAUCAGCUGCGAUAAGCCAUGACGAGCUGCAAGUAAGCAUAGACUCAUGGAUUUCCGAAUGGGGCAACCCGGCAAGAGUAACGUCUUGUCACCUUAUCUACGAGAUAAGGAGAAAACACCCGAUGAACUGAAACAUCUAAGUAGUCGGAGGAAAAGAAAUCAAAGAGAUUCCCUGAGUAGCGGCGAGCGAAACGGGAAGAGCCCAAACCAAAUGACUUCGGUUGUUUGGGGUUGCGGACCUGCAACAAACUGGACACUUUAGUGGAAGCAUCUGGGAAGGUGCGGCAAAGAGAGUGAGACCCUCGUACACGAAAGAGUGAAAAGCGGGCAGGAAUCCAGAGUACCACAGGGCACGAGGAACCCAGUGGGAAGCAGGGUGGACCACCAUCCAAGGCUAAAUACAUCGAAACGACCGAUAGCGAUGAGUACCGUGAGGGAAAGGUGAAAAGAACCCCGGGAGGGGAGUGCAAUAGAACCUGAAACCGUAUGUCUACAAACAGUCGGAGCACUUUACAUGUGCGACGGCGUGCCUAUUGAAGAAUGAACCGGCGAGUUAAUUUAUGCUGCGAGGUUAAGCGGGAGACGCGGAGCCGAAGCGAAAGCGAGUCUUAAGAGGGCGUCAAGUAGCAUGGAUUAGACCCGAAACCACAGUGAUCUAUACAUGUCCAGGUUGAAGCUCAGGUAAAAAUGAGUGGAGGACCGAACCCGUGCAUGUUGAAAAAUGUUGGGAUGAGAUGUGUAUAGGGGUGAAAUGCCAAUCGAACGUGGAGAUAGCUGGUUCUCCCCGAAAUAGCUUUAGGGCUAGCCUCAGGCGAAUAACCAUAGAGACGGUAGAGCACUGAUCGGGCAAGGGGGCGUAAAGCCUACCGACCCCAGUCAAACUACGAAUGGCUCAUAUGGGCAGCCUGGGAGUCAGAAUGCGAGUGAUAAGACCCGUAUUCAAGAGGGAAACAGCCCAGACCGCCGGCUAAGGUCCCAAAUGCUGUGCUAAGUGGAGAAGGAUGUAGGACUUCGAAAACAACCAGGAUGUUGGCUCAGAAGCAGCCACCAUUAAAAGAGUGCGUAAUAGCUCACUGGUCGAGAGGCCCUGCGCCGAAAAUAUCCGGGGCUAAAGCACAGAACCGAAGCCGCGGCAAAGUUACUAUGUAACUUUGGGUAGGGGAGCGUUCUUAUCCGGACGAAGGUAGACCGGAAGGACUGCUGGACGGAUAAGAAGUGAGAAUGCCGGUAUGAGUAGCGAAACGACAGGUGAGAAUCCUGUCCACCGAAAGCCUAAGGUAUCCCGGGCAACGCUCGUCGUCCCGGGGUUAGUCGGGACCUAAGCCGAGGCGAAAAGCAUAGGCGAUGGACAACUGGCGAAAAUUCCAGUACCGGGCGUCUUCGUUUGAGGAUGGAGUGACGCAGGAAGGAAGCUGAGCACGCGAUUGGAUGUGCGUGUCGAAGGCGGUAGGCUAGUAUGGAGGCAAAUCCCCAUACUACAAGGCCGAGAACCGAUCGAUAGGAAAGACUACGGUCAAUCUGAAUUCAGCUGCACUACACUGCCAAGAAAAGCUUCUAACGAGAAGACGUCCGCCCGUACCAAAACCGACACAGGUAGGCGGGGAGAGAAUCCUAAGGUGCGCGGGAAAACCCUCGUUAAGGAACUCGGCAAAAUGCAUCCGUAACUUCGGGAAAAGGAUGGCCGCUGGUGGUGAAGACAUUUACUGUUGGAGCUGUUGGCGGCGGCAGAAAAGAGGCCCAAGCGACUGUUUACCACAAACACAGGUGCCUGCGAAAGCGCAAGCUGAAGUAUAGGUGCUGACGCCUGCCCGGUGCAGGAAGGUUAAGGAGAGUUGUUAGCCGUAAGGUGAAGCAGCGAACUGAAGCCCCUGUAAACGGCGGCCGUAACUAUAACGGUCCUAAGGUAGCGAAAUUCCUUGUCGGGUAAGUUCCGACCCGCACGAAAGGCGUAACGAUUUGGGCACUGUCUCAACGAGGGACCCGGUGAAAUUGAAAUACCUGUGAAGAUGCAGGUUACCCGCGACUGGACAGAAAGACCCCAUGGAGCUUUACUGCAGCUUGGCAUUGGUCUUUGGCAUAUAACGUACAGGAUAGCCGGGAGACUGGGAGGAUAGAUCGCUAGAACUAUCGGAGUCACCGUUGGGAUACCGGCCUUUAUAUGCUAAGGAUCUAACCGGAACAUUAACAGUGUUCGGGACAGUACCAGGCGGGCAGUUUGACUGGGGCGGUCGCCUCCGAAAGAGCAACGGAGGCGUCCAAAGGUUCCCUCAGCGCGGACAGAAAUCGCGCGAAGAGCAUAAAGGCAGAAGGGAGCUUGACUGCGAGACUGACGGGUCGAGCAGGUACGAAAGUAGGGCUNNNNNNNNNNNNNNNNNNNNNNNNNNNNNNNNNNNNNNNAGUUUUGCCUAACAAGAACAAUUUGCUUGAUAGUUUCUUCUGUGAAGUUUUGAGUGUACAAGCACUCAAGAAGAUGCGGUGAUGAUGCCUGAACGGUUCCACCUGUUCCCAUUCCGAACACAGCAGUUAAGCGUUCAGAGGCCGAGGGUACUUCGUUGGAGACGACGUGGGAGAGUAGGUAGUUGCCGCAAAAGAUAAGCUCGUGAUGAUUCGCGGGCUUUUUUCUACGCACUGAAAUUGGCUCGAUUGGGCUGAUUGGGAUGGCACUUGGUGCU
This 2718-nucleotide ribosomal RNA is filed under the name Selenomonas sp. oral taxon 126. Lineage: Bacteria; Bacillati; Bacillota; Negativicutes; Selenomonadales; Selenomonadaceae. The record is from RNAcentral.